This 72-nucleotide transfer RNA is filed under the name Heterocephalus glaber (naked mole-rat). It matches the Rfam family "tRNA". From Rfam's summary of the family: Transfer RNA (tRNA) molecules are approximately 80 nucleotides in length. Their secondary structure includes four short double-helical elements and three loops (D, anti-codon, and T loops). Further hydrogen bonds mediate the characteristic L-shaped molecular structure. tRNAs have two regions of fundamental functional importance: the anti-codon, which is responsible for specific mRNA codon recognition, and the 3' end, to which the tRNAs corresponding amino acid is attached (by aminoacyl-tRNA synthetases). tRNAs cope with the degeneracy of the genetic code in two manners: having more than one tRNA (with a specific anti-codon) for a particular amino acid; and 'wobble' base-pairing, i.e. permitting non-standard base-pairing at the 3rd anti-codon position. The record is from Rfam by way of RNAcentral. Lineage: Eukaryota; Metazoa; Chordata; Mammalia; Rodentia; Bathyergidae.
GAAGAUGUGGCUCAGUGGUAGAGCACUUGCCUGGCACGCUUGAUGCCCAGGGUUAGAUCCCCAGCACCACUA